This 657-nucleotide ribosomal RNA is filed under the name uncultured fungus. Its description in RNAcentral is "eukaryotic LSU rRNA". It matches the Rfam family "Eukaryotic large subunit ribosomal RNA", at positions 24 to 664 of the family's 3401-position model. Lineage: Eukaryota; Fungi. The record is from RNAcentral.
CCCGCUGAACUUAAGCAUAUCAAUAAGCGGAGGAAAAGAAACUAACAAGGAUUCCCCUAGUAACUGCGAGUGAACCGGGAAAAGCUCAAAUUUUGAAUCUGGCGGUCCUUCGGGCCGUCCGAGUUGUAAUCUAGAGAAGUGCUUUCCGCGCUGGACCGUGUACAAGUCUCUUGGAAUAGAGCAUCAUAGAGGGUGAGAAUCCCGUCUUUGACACGGACUACCAGUGCUUUAUGUGAUGCGCUCUCAAAGAGUCGAGUUGUUUGGGAAUGCAGCUCAAAAUGGGUGGUAAAUUCCAUCUAAAGCUAAAUAUUGGCGAGAGACCGAUAGCGAACAAGUACCGUGAGGGAAAGAUGAAAAGAACUUUGGAAAGAGAGUUAAACAGUACGUGAAAUUGUUGAAAGGGAAACGCUUGAAGUCAGUCACGUUGGCCAGAAAUCAACUUGUAACAGGGCGUAAUUUCUGGUUUUACGGGUCAACAUCAAUUUUGAUUGUUGGAUAAAAGUCAAUAUUUAUGCGUUUUCGGACGUGUAGCCUUUGAUUGCAUACAAUGGUUGGGAUUGAGGAACUCAGCACGCCGCAAGGCCGGGUAACUUGUUACCACGUAACGUGCUUAGGAUGUUGGCAUAAUGGCUUUAAUCGACCCGUCUUGAAACACGG